AUUGAACGCUGGCGGCAGGCCUAACACAUGCAAGUCGAGCGAGCGGCGGACGGGUGAGUAAUGUAUGGGGACUGCCCGAUAGAGGGGGAUAACUACUGGAAACGGUGGCUAAUACCGCAUACUAUCGGAUAACCCAUAUGGGAUUAGCUAGUAGGUGGGGUAAAGGCUCACCAAGGCGACGAUCUCUAGCUGGUCAGAGAGGAUGAUUAGCCAGUCGGGGACUGAGACACGGCCCAGACUCUACCGGAGGCAGCAGGGGGGAAGAUGGCAAAAUGGGCGAAAGCCUGCUGCAGCAAUGCCGCGUGUAGGAAGAAGGCCUUAGGGUUGUAAAGUACUUUCAGCGGGGAGGCGUUACCCGCAGAAGAAGCACCGGCUAACUCCGUGCCAGCAGCCGCGGUAAUAC
RNAcentral lists this ribosomal RNA (403 nucleotides) under uncultured bacterium. RNAcentral describes it as "partial 16S ribosomal RNA". It matches the Rfam family "Bacterial small subunit ribosomal RNA", at positions 29 to 526 of the family's 1533-position model. The record is from RNAcentral.